This 255-nucleotide ribosomal RNA is filed under the name uncultured bacterium. RNAcentral describes it as "partial 16S ribosomal RNA". It matches the Rfam family "Bacterial small subunit ribosomal RNA", at positions 524 to 777 of the family's 1533-position model. The record is from RNAcentral.
UACGUAGGUGGCAAGCGUUGUCCGGAUUUACUGGGCGUAAAGAGCGCGCAGGCGGUCGUUCAAGUCGCGUGUGAAAGCCCCCGGCUCAACUGGGGAGGGUCACGCGAUACUGAUCGACUCGAAGGCAGGAGAGGGUAGUGGAAUUCCCCGGUGUAGUGGUGAAAUGCGUAGAUAUCGGGAGGAACACCAGUGGCGAAGGCGACUACCUGGCCUGUUCUUGACGCUGAGGCGCGAAAGCUAGGGGAGCAAACGGGG